GACGAACGCUGGCGGCGUGCUUAACACAUGCAAGUCGAACGGAAAGGCCCUGCUUUUGUGGGGUCUCGAGUGGCGAACGGGUGAGUAACACGUGAGUAACCUGCCCUUGACUUUGGGAUAACUUCAGGAAACUGGGGCUAAUACCGGAUAGGAGCUCCUGCUGCAUGGUGGGGGUUGGAAAGUUUCGGCGGUUGGGGAUGGACUCGCGGCUUAUCAGCUUGUUGGUGGGGUAGUGGCUUACCAAGGCUUUGACGGGUAGCCGGCCUGAGAGGGUGACCGGCCACAUUGGGACUGAGAUACGGCCCAGACUCCUACGGGAGGCAGCAGUGGGGAAUAUUGCACAAUGGGCGGAAGCCUGAUGCAGCAACGCCGCGUGCGGGAUGACGGCCUUCGGGUUGUAAACCGCUUUCGCCUGUGACGAAGCGUGAGUGACGGUAAUGGGUAAAGAAGCACCGGCUAACUACGUG
RNAcentral lists this ribosomal RNA (467 nucleotides) under uncultured bacterium. RNAcentral describes it as "partial 16S ribosomal RNA". It matches the Rfam family "Bacterial small subunit ribosomal RNA", at positions 28 to 507 of the family's 1533-position model. The record is from RNAcentral.